Molecule: long non-coding RNA, 389 nt
Organism: Epinephelus fuscoguttatus (brown-marbled grouper)
Lineage: Eukaryota; Metazoa; Chordata; Actinopteri; Perciformes; Serranidae
Exons: 3
Source: RefSeq, a predicted model, not a curated record
CGAGGAGGAGAGGAGGAGGACGGGGGACGGCGCCCUUUUUCCUCUUCCCACGCCCCUUACCUGCACCAAGAGGAGCAGAGGACAGAGAAGGGGGUCAGAUGAGGCAUCUAAAGACUUGCACAGAGCUCAGAGAGGAGGACAGAGCCAUGGCCACCAUGGUUUCUUCGUCCAGGGGUGGAGUCUUCUUCCUGGGCUUCUUCUUGGCUGGGAGGCCCGGCUUGGAUGGGCCUUUUCUUUUAGUGCCACCAGUCUGUGUGCUGAAGAGAAAAACAGACGAAAGGUAAGAGGACUGAUUAAACUCUUUUGUCUCUGCAGAGCUUGCAGCAGCACAGCCGGAGCGACGCCCAUUUCUGAGGAGCAGCGCUUGAGGUGGGCCGAGCGACUCUUCU